GCGGCAGGCCUAAUACAUGCAAGUCGAGCGCACCUUCGGGUGAGCGGCGAACGGGUGAGUAACGCGUGGGAAUGUGCCCUUCUCUGCGGAAUAGCCAUUGGAAACGAUGAGUAAUACCGCAUACGCCCUUCGGGGGAAAGAUUUAUCGGAGAAGGAUCAGCCCGCGUUAGAUUAGGUAGUUGGUGGGGUAAUGGCCUACCAAGCCUACGAUCUAUAGCUGGUUUGAGAGGAUGAUCAGCCACACUGGGACUGAGACACGGCCCAGACUCCUACGGGAGGCAGCAGUAGGGAAUCUUAGACAAUGGGCGCAAGCCUGAUCUAGCCAUGCCGCGUGCGUGACGAAGGCCUUAGGGUCGUAAAGCACUUUCGCCAGGGAUGAUAAUGACAGUACCUGGUAAAGAAGCCCCGGCUAACUCCGUGCCAGCAGCCGCGGUAAUACGGAGGGGGCUAGCGUUGUUCGGAAUUACUGGGCGUAAAGCGCGCGUAGGCGGAUUGUUAAGUCGGGGGUGAAAUCCCGGGGCUCAACCCCGGAACUGCCUCCGAUACUGGCAAUCUAGAGUUCUGGAGAGGUGAGUGGAAUUCCGAGUGUAGAGGUGAAAUUCGUAGAUAUUCGGAGGAACACCAGUGGCGAAGGCGGCUCACUGGCCAGACACUGACG
RNAcentral lists this ribosomal RNA (658 nucleotides) under uncultured bacterium. RNAcentral describes it as "bacterial SSU rRNA". It matches the Rfam family "Bacterial small subunit ribosomal RNA", at positions 39 to 745 of the family's 1533-position model. The record is from RNAcentral.